This 368-nucleotide small RNA is filed under the name Drosophila pseudoobscura pseudoobscura. RNAcentral describes it as "GA30596". Lineage: Eukaryota; Metazoa; Arthropoda; Insecta; Diptera; Drosophilidae. The record is from RNAcentral.
GGUCGAAGCUGAUGCCGAUCCAGGCCCAGGAUCCACUCCAGCCCAGAGCCUUCACUGGAUCGGUACUCCUUGAACGAUGGUUUGGAUGGGGUUCCUUGGUGCGCUUAGUUGGUUUGGCUGGUGUUGCCUUUCGUCCACGCCUUUUCUGGGGAGUAACAGACGCCUGCAUAGGUGGUAUGUGAGCCGCUCCCUUCAAAGAAUAAGAGCAUUUAGGAGAAGUAAGCAAGGAGCUUUGCAGCGGCUUUCUUCCACGAUUGGAAGUAUUUGGAGUAUUCGCUUGCGAUGAGGACCAAUUUCUUCCAAAAGAAGAAUGCUGCUGAUGUUAACGGUGUCGAACAACUCUUCUGCUGUGACUCUACCACAUGGCA